UACGUAGGGCGCAAGCGUUAAUCGGAAUACUGGGCGUAAAGCGUGCGCAGGCGGUGAUGUAAGACAGGUGUGAAAUCCCCGGGCUUAACCUGGGAACUGCAUUUGUGACUGCAUCGCUGGAGUGCGGCAGAGGGGGAUGGAAUUCCGCGUGUAGCAGUGAAAUGCGUAGAUAUGCGGAGGAACACCGAUGGCGAAGGCAAUCCCCUGGGCCUGCACUGACGCUCAUGCACGAAAGCGUGGGGAGCAAACAGG
Molecule: ribosomal RNA, 252 nt
Filed under: uncultured bacterium
Lineage: Bacteria
Description: partial 16S ribosomal RNA
Rfam family: Bacterial small subunit ribosomal RNA
Source: RNAcentral